Molecule: long non-coding RNA, 806 nt
Organism: Erinaceus europaeus (western European hedgehog)
Lineage: Eukaryota; Metazoa; Chordata; Mammalia; Eulipotyphla; Erinaceidae
Exons: 4
Source: RefSeq, a predicted model, not a curated record
UUGGGCAGGGUGUGUGCAGUCUGCUCCCAAGAUUUGUUCUUGGAAGCUUCCUUCCCAGGAGCUAGGGAGAAGCAGAAGGUAGGGUUCACUGGGCAGAGCACGGGGCUCCCGUGGCUGAGGUGCCAUAUUCCCUGGCCGGUGGGGUGUACACAGAGGCAGAAGUGUCCUGAAGCUCUGCCUUUGCUCCCCCUGCUCUGUGCCAUGGGCCAGUCCCUUUCUGUUCCUGCACUGCUACUACCCCUUUCCUGAAAAUAGGCGAUCUAAGCACCUGUGCUGGGCUGCUUGGCAGUGAUGAACCCGCUGGCAUUCCAGACUUCCAUGCACAGGGACCAGGCAUGGAGCCCUGUAAGACCCUGCAGAGGGAGGAGAGAACCUUGCUGCACCCUGUGUCAUGCUGUUGCAGGAACCUCAGAGCUUCAGAUCCUUGCUGUACCCUGCACCAUGGAGUUGCAGGAACCUCAGAGCUUCAUCACCACCCGCCAGUGAGGUCGUCCCGGAUUUCUGAGAUCGCCCUUGGCUGAUCUCCUGUAAGGCGAUUCUCUCCAGCUCCAUCCAAGACUGAGCAACGGAGAUGCCUCCAUUCUUCUUAACAGCUGAGUAGUAUUGCGCAGGGUAUAGAUGCCACCACUGUCUUAGCCGUUCUUCUGUCAUUGGAAACCUGGGUUGCUUCCAAGAUUUAAGACCAGGAGCAGCCCUGCUCCAGGAGAGACCCUUGAUAGGAAGCAACGCAUAGGGAGUCGGGAGGUAGUGCAGCGGGUUAAGCACAUGUGGCGUGAAGUGCAAGGACCGGCGUAAGGAUCCCUGUU